UGAGGAAUAUUGCGCAAUGGGGGAAACCCUGACGCAGCGACGCCGCGUGGAGGACGAAGGCCUUCGGGUUGUAAACUCCUGUCAGAGGUGAAGAAGCCGCAAGGUUGACGGUAACCUCAGAGGAAGCCCCGGCUAACUACGUGCCAGCAGCCGCGGUAAUACGUAGGGGGCGAACGUUGCUCGGAAUUAUUGGGCGUAAAGGGUGUGUAGGCGGCCGAACAAGUCCAGGAUGAAAUCCCGAGGCUCAACUUCGGAAUGGUCCUUGAUACUGUUCGGCUUGAGGGUAGUUGAGGAGAAUGGAAUUCCCGGUGGAGCGGUGAAAUGCGUAGAUAUCGGGAGGAACACCAGAGGCGAAGGCGAUUCUCUAAGCUAUUCCUGACGCUGAGACACGAAAGCUAGGGGAGCAAACGGG
Molecule: ribosomal RNA, 412 nt
Filed under: uncultured bacterium
Lineage: Bacteria
Description: bacterial SSU rRNA
Rfam family: Bacterial small subunit ribosomal RNA
Source: RNAcentral